GACGAACGCUGGCGGCGUGCUUAACACAUGCCAGUCGAACGGAAAGGCCCUGCUUUUGUGGGGUGCUCGAGUGGCGAACGGGUGAGUAACACGUGAGUAACCUGCCCUUGACUUUGGGAUAACUUCAGGAAACUGGGGCUAAUACCGGAUAGGAGCUCCUGCUGCAUGGUGGGGGUUGGAAAGUUUCGGCGGUUGGGGAUGGACUCGCGGCUUAUCAGCUUGUUGGUGGGGUAGUGGCUUACCAAGGCUUUGACGGGUAGCCGGCCUGAGAGGGUGACCGGCCACAUUGGGACUGAGAUACGGCACAGACUACUACGGGAGGCAGCAGUGGGGAAUAUUGCACAAUGGGCGGAAGCCUGAUGCAGCAACGCCGCGUGCGGGAUGACGGCAUUCGGGUUGUAAACCGCUUUCGCCUGUGACGAAGCGUGAGUGACGGUAAUGGGUAAAGAAGCACCGGCUAACUACGUG
This 468-nucleotide ribosomal RNA is filed under the name uncultured bacterium. Its description in RNAcentral is "partial 16S ribosomal RNA". It matches the Rfam family "Bacterial small subunit ribosomal RNA", at positions 28 to 507 of the family's 1533-position model. The record is from RNAcentral.